UACGGAGGGUGCAAGCGUUAUCCGGAUUCACUGGGUUUAAAGUGUGCGCAGGUGGCCGCGCAAGUCGAGUGUGAAAUCCCCGAGCUUAACUUGGGAAUUGCGCUCGAAACUACGUGGCUCGAGUGUGGCAGAGGAAGGUGGAAUUCCACGUGUAGCGGUGAAAUGCGUAGAGAUGUGGAGGAACACCGAUGGCGAAGGCAGCCUUCUGGGCCAACACUGACGCUCAUGCACGAAAGCGUGGGGAGCAAACAGG
This 253-nucleotide ribosomal RNA is filed under the name uncultured bacterium. RNAcentral describes it as "partial 16S ribosomal RNA". It matches the Rfam family "Bacterial small subunit ribosomal RNA", at positions 524 to 776 of the family's 1533-position model. The record is from RNAcentral.